Molecule: non-coding RNA, 75 nt
Organism: Caenorhabditis brenneri
Lineage: Eukaryota; Metazoa; Nematoda; Chromadorea; Rhabditida; Rhabditidae
Source: the annotation of a GenBank genome assembly
GUCUAAAUGGCUCAGUGGGAUUUUUCAGAUCACCUACCAAUCUGAGGGUCAGGGGUUCGAACCCCCUUCGGGUCA